GAUCCUGGCUCAGGACGAACGCUGGCGGCGCGCCUAACACAUGCAAGUCGAACGAGCGAGAGAGAGCUUGCUUUCUCAAGCGAGUGGCGAACGGGUGAGUAACGCGUGAGGAACCUGCCUCAAAGAGGGGACAACAGUUGGAAACGACUGCUAAUACCGCAUAAGCCCACGACCCGGCAUCGGGUAGAGGGAAAAGGAGCAAUACCGCUUUGAGAUGGCCUCGCGUCCCGAUUAGCUAGUUGGUGG
This 246-nucleotide ribosomal RNA is filed under the name uncultured bacterium. RNAcentral's name for it is "partial 16S ribosomal RNA". It matches the Rfam family "Bacterial small subunit ribosomal RNA", at positions 15 to 255 of the family's 1533-position model. The record is from RNAcentral.